Molecule: ribosomal RNA, 483 nt
Filed under: uncultured bacterium
Lineage: Bacteria
Description: bacterial SSU rRNA
Rfam family: Bacterial small subunit ribosomal RNA
Source: RNAcentral
GGUGAACGCUGGCGGCGUGCCUAACACAUGCAAGUCGUACGAGAAAGCCGGCUUCGGCUGGUGAGUAAAGUGGCGCACGGGUGAGUAACGCGUGGAUAAUCUGCCCUUAAGUGUGGAAUAACGUACCGAAAGGUGCGCUAAUACCGCAUAAUGCCUGGCAACACAAGUUGUCCGGCCAAAGAAGGCCUCUGUUUACAAGCUUUCGCUUCAGGAUGAGUCCGCGUACCAUUAGCUUGUUGGUGGGGUAAUGGCCUACCAAGGCUGCGAUGGUUAGCUGGUCUGAGAGGAUGAUCAGCCACACUGGAACUGAGACACGGUCCAGACUCCUACGGGAGGCAGCAGUGAGGAACAUUGCGCAAUGGGGGCAACCCUGACGCAGCAACGCCGCGUGAGUGAGGAAGGUUUUCGGACUGUAAAGCUCUGUCGAGCGGGAAGAAGUGUACCAUGGCUAAUAUCCAUGAUAUUUGACGGUACCGCUAGAGG